This 85-nucleotide transfer RNA is filed under the name Thermoplasmata archaeon. Its description in RNAcentral is "tRNA-Ser". It matches the Rfam family "tRNA". From Rfam's summary of the family: Transfer RNA (tRNA) molecules are approximately 80 nucleotides in length. Their secondary structure includes four short double-helical elements and three loops (D, anti-codon, and T loops). Lineage: Archaea; Methanobacteriati; Thermoplasmatota; Thermoplasmata. The record is from RNAcentral. RNAcentral also lists the same sequence under 1 other name.
GCCGAGGUAGCCAAGCCCGGUAUGGCGGCGGUCUCGAAAACCGCUGGAGCAAUCCUCGGGAGUUCGAAUCUCUCCCUCGGCGCCA